AUUUAACUCUGGCGGUAGGCCUAACACAUGCAAGUCGAACGGCAGCACAGUAAGAGCUUGCUCUUACGGGUGGCGAGUGGCGGACGGGUGAGGAAUACAUCGGAAUCUACUUUUUCGUGGGGGAUAACGUAGGGAAACUUACGCUAAUACCGCAUACGACCUACGGGUGAAAGCAGGGGAUCUUCGGACCUUGCGCGAUUGAAUGAGCCGAUGUCGGAUUAGCUAGUUGGCGGGGUAAAGGCCCACCAAGGCGACGAUCCGUAGCUGGUCUGAGAGGAUGAUCAGCCACACUGGAACUGAGACACGGUCCAGACUCCUACGGGAGGCAGCAGUGGGGAAUAUUGGACAAUGGGCGCAAGCCUGAUCCAGCCAUACCGCGUGGGUGAAGAAGGCCUUCGGGUUGUAAAGCCCUUUUGUUGGGAAAGAAAAGCAGCAGGUUAAUACCCCGCUGUUCUGACGGUACCCAAAGAAUAAGCACCGGCUAACUUCGUG
RNAcentral lists this ribosomal RNA (492 nucleotides) under uncultured bacterium. RNAcentral's name for it is "partial 16S ribosomal RNA". It matches the Rfam family "Bacterial small subunit ribosomal RNA", at positions 32 to 507 of the family's 1533-position model. The record is from RNAcentral.